GACGAACGCUGGCGGCGUGCUUAACACAUGCAAGUCGAACGGUGAAGCGCCUUCCUUUUUGGUGGGUGUGGAUGAGUGGCGAACGGGUGAGUAACACGUGAGUAACCUGCCCCCUUCUUCUGGAUAACCGCAUGAAAGUGUGGCUAAUACGGGAUAUUCUGGUUCUGUCGCAUGAUGGUUCUGGGAAAGAUAUUGUUUCGGUGGGGGAUGGGCUCGCGGCCUAUCAGCUUGUUGGUGGGGUGAUGGCCUACCAAGGCGGUGACGGGUAGCCGGCCUGAGAGGGUGGACGGUCACACUGGGACUGAGACACGGCCCAGACUCCUACGGGAGGCAGCAGUGGGGAAUAUUGCACAAUGGGCGCAAGCCUGAUGCAGCGACGCCGCGUGAGGGAUGGAGGCCUUCGGGUUGUGAACCUCUUUCGCCAGUGAAGCAGGCCUGCCUCGUUUGUGGGUGGGUUGACGGCAGCUGGAUAAGAAGCGCCGGCUAACUACGUG
RNAcentral lists this ribosomal RNA (494 nucleotides) under uncultured bacterium. RNAcentral's name for it is "partial 16S ribosomal RNA". It matches the Rfam family "Bacterial small subunit ribosomal RNA", at positions 28 to 507 of the family's 1533-position model. The record is from RNAcentral.